Egretta garzetta (little egret) is the source of this 169-nucleotide small nuclear RNA. RefSeq annotates it as U1 spliceosomal RNA. The record is from RefSeq and is a predicted model, not a curated record. The transcript has a single exon. Lineage: Eukaryota; Metazoa; Chordata; Aves; Pelecaniformes; Ardeidae.
AUUCUGCCUUGAGGUUUUGGGGAGACACCAUGAGCAGGCAGUGGUUUUCCCAGGGUGAGGCUCAUCCCCUGCACUCCGGGUGUGCUGACCCCUGCAGUUUCCCCAAAUGCCAGAACUCAACUGCAUAACUUGUGGUAGAGGGGGACUGCGUUCGCACUUACAAACCCUG